Molecule: ribosomal RNA, 720 nt
Filed under: uncultured fungus
Lineage: Eukaryota; Fungi
Description: SSU rRNA
Rfam family: Eukaryotic small subunit ribosomal RNA
Source: RNAcentral
AGAGGCCUACCAUGGUGGUGACGGGUAACGGGGUGUUAGGGCACGACACCGGAGAGGGAGCCUGAGAAACGGCUACCACAUCCAAGGAUGGCAGCAGGCGCGCAAAUUACCCAAUCCCGACACGGGGAGGUAGUGACAAUAAAUAACAAUACGGGGUUCUUUAGGAUCUCGUAAUUGGAAUGAGUACAAUUUAAAUCUCUUAACGAGGAACAAUUGGAGGGCAAGUCUGGUGCCAGCAGCCGCGGUAAUUCCAGCUCCAAUAGCGUAUAUUAAAGUUGUUGCAGUUAAAAAGCUCGUAGUUAAAUUUCGGGGUUAGUAGGUUGGUCAUGCCUCUGGUAUGUACUGGUCUCACUGAUUCCUCCUUCCUUAUGAACCGUAAUGCCAUUAAUUUGGUGUUGCGGGGAAUUUGGACUGUUACUUUGAAAAAAUUAGAGUGUUUAAAGCAAGCUAACGCUUGAAUACAUUAGCAUGGAAUAAUGAAAUAGGACGUUCGAUCUUAUUUUGUUGGUUUCUAGGAUUGACGUAAUGAUUAAUAGGGAUAGUUGGGGGCAUUAGUAUUCAAUUGUCAGAGGUGAAAUUCUUGGAUUUAUUGAAGACUAACUACUGCGAAAGCAUUUGCCAAGGAUGUUUUCAUUAAUCAAGAACGAAAGUUAGGGGAUCGAAGACGAUCAGAUACCGUCGUAGUCUUAACCAUAAACUAUGCCGACUAGGGAUCGGAUG